Long non-coding RNA from Armigeres subalbatus, 1751 nucleotides. RefSeq lists it as uncharacterized. The transcript has 3 exons. The record is from RefSeq and is a predicted model, not a curated record. Lineage: Eukaryota; Metazoa; Arthropoda; Insecta; Diptera; Culicidae.
UCGUGGGUGACGAAUUACAUUAUUAAUUUCACCAGCGAAUUGCCGGACCCCUCCCGACCUUUUGACAUUUUGCCUGUUUGUUUCGUUCUCACACUUCGGCCCAACUGUCAAAUCCAAAAAGCAACAACAAAAACUUGAUUUUUCUCACAAGUGAUUAGUUGCAGUAUCCUUGUAUUAAAAUAUCCUAUUUGUGAAUAAUUGGUGAUUAAUAAAAAACGAUAGCUUUCGGGAUAGCCUGGAUGGUUCAAAACAUUUCAUAAGGUGAAAUUAAUUGUUUUGUGGCUGAUCCCAUCAACAAUGACGUUAAUAACCCCAAAGGUCAAUCACGAUGGCCGGGUGUUUAUGUCGUCUCAUCGGAUAAUAAAGUAUUAGUGGAGGACGAUCAUUGCCAUUGGGUCCAACCGAAAAUCUAGCAAACAACCGAAAAAUAUACUCAACCAAGGGCUGUUGAAAAUAAACAUCUUUUCGUACGAGAUGCCCGACAUCCCGGGAUUCAAAUAUGAAAAGACCAGAAUUGACGACGACGAUGAGUCUUCUGGUGAAAUUCAGGGGAUACAUUGUCGUUCUGCUACGAUGGCAGCCGGAUAGUACGGUAGACAAUCGGCAGUCCUAGUUUCGAAAAACGUGGUCUGUACAACAACCUCAGCAGCAUAAUUGAGAUCAUUCCGCAUCUCAACAACAGUAUUCCCAAGGAGCACCGGACACCUCAUUCAUGUACCAACCGACUCGUUUUGACGUUUUAGAUACGAGGCUAACAUGAAGCACUUGUCAAAAACGGUGUCCAACGCCGUUGUGUUAGGAUGAUGCUGCCCUCGAUGCUGCCUUUUUCCUACAAUGACCUGCAAAGUCAGAGUCGGUUCCAUCUUCGAAAUGAUGAACUAAUAGCAGCUGUCGUUGUCCACGAUCUGGAUGAAAAGACCACCAGCGAGUGAAACAUUAUGUUUAUCAAUUAUGGUGGCGGUACUAUUGAUGAGUAAAUCCUGUCAAUGAUAGCAUCUUCAAAGUCUGCAGCCGAUGACACCCAUCUUGGUUGUAAGGACUCUGACUACCGAUUGUCGUCACCGACACUGGUCAGCUUUGAAAAUUAAUUGUUGUUCGAGGGCACCAACGACAACCCGUGCCCGUUUCAAAUAACUAAACGCCGAUAUGUUGCGUCUUAAUGAGAUCGUUGCCGAAAUAAGCAUAUCUAAAAACUUUCACCACAUACUCGGCAUGCUUUAACUGGUCAGAACAUCACCACCAAAUCGCGGUGUACUCUUUUGAUAUUUAUGUAAACGAUAUUCGGAAUGUAACGGCGACAAGGGUCACAUUGGCAUCGAGGACAUCAAACGCAUGAUCAACAAACGAGAAAUACUGCUCAGAAGAAGAGAAGCAAAAGAAAGCCAUUUAUGCUAAUAACGCUAUGGAGCCGUACUGCUUCAAUAUGAAGUACAGUUUGACGAUCUACCGGGACUAUGCUAUAUGUUGCUGCAUUAUCAUGAUGUGUUACUAAUAAGUUAUCUUGUAUAUUGGGUUUACCCAAUGAUUGCUGAAAGUCACCGUAAUAAAGAUAAUAAAAAAAUAAAUGAAAUAAUUAUUCAAUCAAUAUCAAUCUAUCAAUCAAACAAUCUCGAUCAAUCUCAGUCAAUCAAUCAAUCAGUAAAUCUCAAUCAAUAAAUCUCAAUCAUUCAAUCAAGCUCAGUCAAUUAAUCAACUAAUCAAUCAAUCAAUCCUAAUAAAUCAAUUUCAAUUAAUAAAAUCAAUUACACUCA